Molecule: long non-coding RNA, 1258 nt
Filed under: Citrus x clementina
Lineage: Eukaryota; Viridiplantae; Streptophyta; Magnoliopsida; Sapindales; Rutaceae
Description: Citrus clementina (C. clementina) long non-coding RNA (CCLE_LNC001657)
Source: RNAcentral
GCGAACGGCCACGUUUUGGCACACGGAGGCGACUUGCAAAGUCUCACGCCAUUCCGAGUCCGGCGGACGAUGUUGGCCAGCCCCACCCCCCAAGGCUAUAGCCCACCCGUUUUUGUGGCAGUUUUCCGCUGGACGAACUUGGCGCCCCGGCCUUCGGGCGGUUAUUUUUGGGCGCGGCUGUGCCCGCUGCCUAUUUUUGGCACACGAAGGCGCCUCUCAAAGUCUCGCGCCAUUCCGAGUCCGGCGGACGAAGUUGGCAAGCCCCACCCCCCAAGGCUAUAGCGCACCCGUUUUUGUGGCCUUUUUCCGCUGGACGAACUUGGCGCCCCGGCCUUCGGGCGGCGGUUAUUUUUGGGCACGGCUGUGCCCGCGGCCUAUUUUUGGCACACGGAGGCGGCUCGCAAAGUCUCGUGCCAUUCCGAGUCCGGCGGACGAAGUUGGCCAGCCCCACCCCCCAAGGCUAUAGCGCACCCGUUUUUGUGGCCUUUUUCCGCUGGAUGAACUAGGCGCCCCGGCCUUCGGGCGGUUAUUUUUGGGCGCGGCUGUGACCACGGCAUAUUUUUGGCACACGGAGAGGCCUCGCAAAGUCUCGCGCCAUUCCGAGUCCGGCGGACGAUGUUGGCAAGCCCCACCCCCCAAGGCUAUAGCCCACCCGUUUUUGUGGGCUUUUUCCGCUGGACGAACUUGGCGCCCCGGCCUUCGGGCGGUUCUUUUUGGACAUGGCUGUGCCCGCGGCCUAUUUUUGGCGCACGGAGGUGCCUCGCAAAGUCUCGCACUAUUCCUAGUCCGCCGGACGAAGUUGGCCAGCCCCACCCCCCAAGGCUAUAGCCCGCCCGUUUUGGUGGCCUUUUUCGGCUGGACGAACUUGGCGCCCCGGCCUUCGGGCGGUUAUUUUUGGGCGCGGCUAUGCGCACGGCCACUUUUUGGCACACGGAGGUUCCUUGCAAAGUCUCACGCCAUUCCGAGUCCGGCGGACGAUGUUGGCCAGCCCCACCCCCCAAGGCUAUAGCCCACCCGUUUUUGUGGCAUUUUUCCGCUGGACGAACUUGGCACCCCGGCCUUCGGGCGGUUAUUUUUGGGCGCGGCUGCACCCGCGGCCUAUUUUUGGCACAUGGGGGCUCCUCGAAAAGUCUCGCGCCAUUCCGAGUCCGGCGGACGAAGUUGGCCAGCCCCACCCCCCAAGGCUAUAGCCCACCCGUUUUUGUGGGCUUUUUCCGCUGGACGAACUUGGCGCCCCGGCCUUCGGGUGGUUAUUUUU